CAAUAGCGUAUAUUAAAGUUGUUGCGGUAAAAAAGCUCGUAGUUGGAUUUCUGUUGAGAGCGACCGGUCCAUACCAUGUAUGCGUAUCUGGCUUGCUCUCGGCAUCCUCUCGAUAGACGUUACUGCGCUUGAUUGCGUGGUGCGGAUCUCGGGACUUUUACUUUGAGGAAGUUAGAGUGUUCACGGCAGGCUUUCGCCAGAAUACAUUAGCAUGGAAUAAUACUAUAGGAUCUUGGUUCUAUUUUGUUGGUUUCUAGAAUUGAGAUAAUGAUUAAUAGGGACAAUUGGGGGCAUUCGUAUCAACACGUCGGAGGUGGAAUUCUUGGAUUGUGUUGCGACGAACUACUGCGAAAGCAUUUGCCAAGGAUGUUUUCAUUGA
RNAcentral lists this ribosomal RNA (379 nucleotides) under uncultured eukaryote. RNAcentral's name for it is "partial 18S ribosomal RNA". It matches the Rfam family "Eukaryotic small subunit ribosomal RNA", at positions 592 to 976 of the family's 1831-position model. The record is from RNAcentral.